This is a long non-coding RNA of Tympanuchus pallidicinctus (lesser prairie-chicken), 329 nucleotides long. RefSeq lists it as uncharacterized. The transcript is spliced from 3 exons. NCBI's taxonomy places the organism in Eukaryota, Metazoa, Chordata, Aves, Galliformes, Phasianidae. The record is from RefSeq and is a predicted model, not a curated record.
UUAAUUGCAUUGCAUCUAAGUUAAUUCUGCAGGCAUAUGCCUUUAAUUCCAUACCAUCUAAUUAAUUCUGCAGGCAUAUGCCUUUAAUUCCAUAGCAUCUAAGUUAAUUCUGAAGGCAUAUGCCUUUAAUUCCAUAGCAUCUAAGUUAAUUCUGCAGGCAUAUGCCUUUAAUUCCAUACCAUCUAAUUAAUUCUGCAGGCAUAUGCCUUUAAUUCCAUAGCAUCUAAGUUAAUUCUGAAGGCAUAUGCCUUUAAUUCCAUAGCAUCUAAGUUAAUUCUGAAGGCAUAUGCCUUUAAUUCCAUAGCAUCUAAGUUAAUUCUGAAGGCAUA